CACAAACUGUUAACUUGCCACUCCAAGUUCAACAAGAAAGCAAAACAUCCAGCUCGACAGAACCAUGAUGGCAAACAAGUACUCGGCUAGCUCGGUUCGGCUGAUGCUGGUCCUCCUGGUUUUACUGGUUUUCAUUGGUGGCAUCCUCGGGCAACAAGGUGGACCGUCCACCUGCGACAACUGUAAGCUAGCACUCGAUGUUGUUGUAUUUGCAUAAAUAAACACACAUGAAAAUUUUGUUGUCUUUCUAUCUAACUUGUUUCUGUUCAUCAUUUUCCGCCAGCUGGACCGGUUCAGAAGAGCUGCCCGCCAAUCCGUGGUGGCUCAUAAGUAUGAGAUAGACGAUUUCUACGCAGCGGGAUUUGGUAGGAUCUCGCAUUGGCCGGCGUAGGAAGCUUUCUAUUCUAUGUAAACGAUAAUAUAUAUGAUCUUGAGGUGUUGGUGUGUGUAUGUUUGUAUUUUCACCUGGUUUAUAAAUAAAUAAUAUGGCUUCGAAAGAUUUAGAUGCUUUCGUUCGAUUCCUUGCACCACAUAUUAU
Molecule: long non-coding RNA, 538 nt
Filed under: Triticum aestivum (bread wheat)
Lineage: Eukaryota; Viridiplantae; Streptophyta; Magnoliopsida; Poales; Poaceae
Description: long non-coding RNA (TAES_LNC002116)
Source: RNAcentral